GAUGAACGCUGGCGGCGUGCCUAACACAUGCAAGUCGAGCGAACAGACGCGUAGCUUGCUCCUCUGACGUUAGCGGCGGACGGGUGAGUAACACGUGGAUAAUCUCCCUAUAAGUCUGGGAUAAUAUCGGGAAACCGGAGCUAAUACCGGAUGAUAUACUGAACCGCUUGGUUGAUUAGUGAAAGACGGUUUUGCUGUCACUUAUAGAUGGGUCCGCGCCGCAUUAGCUAGUUGGUAAGGUAACGGCCUACCAAGGCAACGAUGCGUAGCCGACCUGAGAGGGGGGUCGGCGGCCCUGGAGCUGAGACGCGGUCCAGACUCCUCCGGGAGGCAGCAGUAGGGAAUCUUCCGCAACAGGCGGAAGCCUGCCGGAGCAGCGCCGCGUGAGUGAUGAAGGUGUUCGGAUCGUAAUGAUCUGUUUUUGGGGAAGAACAAAUGUGGAAGUAACUAUGCACGUCUUGACGGUACCUAGUCAGAAAGCCACGGCUAACUACGUG
This 497-nucleotide ribosomal RNA is filed under the name uncultured bacterium. RNAcentral describes it as "partial 16S ribosomal RNA". It matches the Rfam family "Bacterial small subunit ribosomal RNA", at positions 28 to 507 of the family's 1533-position model. The record is from RNAcentral.